Molecule: ribosomal RNA, 460 nt
Filed under: uncultured bacterium
Lineage: Bacteria
Description: partial 16S ribosomal RNA
Rfam family: Bacterial small subunit ribosomal RNA
Source: RNAcentral
CCUACGGGAGGCAGCAGUGAGGAAUAUUGGUCAAUGGGCGGGAGCCUGAACCAGCCAAGUCGCGUGAGGGAAGACGGUCCUAUGGAUUGUAAACCUCUUUAGGCGGGGAGCAAUGCCGGGCACGCGUGCCCGGAGGGAGAGUACCCGCAGAAUAAGCAUCGGCUAACUUCGUGCCAGCCGCCGCGGUAAUACGGAGGAUGCGAGCGUUAUCCGGCUUGGGUGGGUUUAAGGGGUGCGUAGGCGGAUUUUUAAGUCAGCGGUAAAAUGUCCGGGCUCAACCCGGGCCGGCCGUUGAAACUGGGGAUCUUGAGUGGGCGAGAAGUAUGCGGAAUGCGUGGUGUAGCGGUGAAAUGCAUAGAUAUCACGCAGAACUCCGAUUGCGAAGGCAGCAUACCGGCGCCCGACUGACGCUGAGGCACGAAAGCGUGGGGAUCGAACAGGAUUAGAUACCCCAGUAGUC